Molecule: transfer RNA, 62 nt
Filed under: Panaorus albomaculatus
Lineage: Eukaryota; Metazoa; Arthropoda; Insecta; Hemiptera; Rhyparochromidae
Description: tRNA-Arg
Source: RNAcentral
AAGUAAUGAAGUAAAUAUACAAUUAGUUUCGACCUAAAAUUAGAGAUUCAUCUCCUUACUUA